This is a small RNA of Tersicoccus phoenicis, 119 nucleotides long. It matches the Rfam family "Actinobacteria sRNA Ms_IGR-7". Lineage: Bacteria; Bacillati; Actinomycetota; Actinomycetes; Micrococcales; Micrococcaceae. The record is from Rfam.
CGAGAUGCCCUUCUUGAAUGGGUGAUACGUGCCUUAGAUAAGUCGUAUCUUCCCAGGUCAGAAGGGCAUUCUCAUGCUCCCACACCGACCCCGCAACACCAAUUGGUCGGUGGAUCGAG